UAGGAAUCUUGUGCAAUGGGGGCAACCCUGACACAGCGACGCCGCGUGAGGGAGGAAGGCCUUCGGGUUGUAAACCUCUUUUAACGAGGAAGAAACAAAUGACGGUACUCGUUGAAUAAGCCCCGGCUAACUCCGUGCCAGCAGCCGCGGUAAUACGGAGGGGGCGAGCGUUGUCCGAAGUUACUGGGCGUAAAGCGCGCGUAGGCGGGUUGGCAAGUCCGCUGUGAAAGCCCGGUGCUUAACGCCGGAGGGUCGGUGGAUACUGCCAGUCUUGAAGGUGCUAGGGAGAGAUGGAAUUACCAGUGUAGCGGUGAAAUGCGUAGAUAUUGGUAGGAACACCAGUGGCGAAGGCGGUCUCUUGGAGCACUCUUGACGCUGAGGCGCGAAAGCUGGGGGAGCGAACGGGA
This 407-nucleotide ribosomal RNA is filed under the name uncultured Chthonomonas sp. RNAcentral's name for it is "bacterial SSU rRNA". It matches the Rfam family "Bacterial small subunit ribosomal RNA", at positions 356 to 777 of the family's 1533-position model. The record is from RNAcentral. Lineage: Bacteria; Bacillati; Armatimonadota; Chthonomonadia; Chthonomonadales; Chthonomonadaceae.